UACGUAGGGUGCGAGCGUUGUCCGGAAUUAUUGGGCGUAAAGAGCUCGUAGGCGGUGUGUCACGUCGGCCGUGAAAACCUGGGGCUUAACUCUGGGCGUGCGGUCGAUACGGGCAUCACUAGAGUUCGGCAGGGGAGACUGGAAUUCCUGGUGUAGCGGUGAAAUGCGUAGAGAUCAGGAAGAACACCCGUGGCGCAAGCGGCCACCUGGCCAAGAGCUGACGCUGAGGCACGAGAGCGUGGGGAGCGAACCGG
Molecule: ribosomal RNA, 254 nt
Filed under: uncultured bacterium
Lineage: Bacteria
Description: partial 16S ribosomal RNA
Rfam family: Bacterial small subunit ribosomal RNA
Source: RNAcentral